AGCGAAUAGAUACCCCGGUAGUCCACGCCGUAAACUAUGGAUGCUAGCCGUCGGCAAGCUUGCUUGUCGGUGGCGCAGCUAACGCUUUAAGCAUCCCGCCUGGGGAGUACGGCCGCAAGGUUAAAACUCAAAGGAAUUGACGGGGGCCCGCACAAGCGGUGGAGCAUGUGGUUUAAUUCGACGCAACGCGAAGAACCUUACCAGCUCUUGACAUUUACGGACCGUUUCCAGAGAUGGAUUCACUCUAGCAAUACGGCGUAGGACGAGGUGCUGCAGUGGCUGUCGUACAGCUCGUGUCGUAGA
Molecule: ribosomal RNA, 303 nt
Filed under: uncultured bacterium
Lineage: Bacteria
Description: bacterial SSU rRNA
Rfam family: Bacterial small subunit ribosomal RNA
Source: RNAcentral